This 760-nucleotide ribosomal RNA is filed under the name Petriella setifera. Its description in RNAcentral is "SSU rRNA". It matches the Rfam family "Eukaryotic small subunit ribosomal RNA", at positions 806 to 1590 of the family's 1831-position model. The record is from RNAcentral. Lineage: Eukaryota; Fungi; Ascomycota; Sordariomycetes; Microascales; Microascaceae.
AGCAUGGAAUAAUAGAAUAGGACGUGUGGUUCUAUUUUGUUGGUUUCUAGGACCGCCGUAAUGAUUAAUAGGGACAGUCGGGGGCAUCAGUAUUCAAUUGUCAGAGGUGAAAUUCUUGGAUCUAUUGAAGACUAACUACUGCGAAAGCAUUUGCCAAGGAUGUUUUCAUUGAUAAGGAACGAAAGUUAGGGGAUCGAAGACGAUCAGAUACCGUCGUAGUCUUAACUAUAAACUAUGCCGACUAGGGAUCGGACGAUGUUAUUCUUUGACGCGUUCGGCACCUUUCGAGAAAUCAAAGUGCUUGGGCUCCAGGGGGAGUAUGGUCGCAAGGCUGAAACUUAAAGAAAUUGACGGAAGGGCACCACCAGGGGUGGAACCUGCGGCUUAAUUUGACUCAACACGGGGAAACUCACCAGGUCCAGACACAGUGAGGAUUGACAGAUUGAGAGCUCUUUCUUGAUUCUGUGGGUGGUGGUGCAUGGCCGUUCUUAGUUGGUGGAGUGAUUUGUCUGCUUAAUUGCGAUAACGAACGAGACCUUAACCUGCUAAAUAGCCCGUACUGCUUUGGCAGUUCGCCGGCUUCUUAGAGGGACUAUCGGCUCAAGCCGAUGGAAGUUUGAGGCAAUAACAGGUCUGUGAUGCCCUUAGAUGUCCUGGGCCGCACGCGCGUUACACUGACAGAGCCAGCGAGUAUUUCCUUGACCGGAAGGUCCGGGUAAUCUUGUUAAACUCUGUCGUGCUGGGGAUAGAGCAUUGCAAU